Molecule: long non-coding RNA, 223 nt
Filed under: Mytilus galloprovincialis (Mediterranean mussel)
Lineage: Eukaryota; Metazoa; Mollusca; Bivalvia; Mytilida; Mytilidae
Source: RNAcentral
AAAGUGAUGGUAUCCUUUAUUCCUACCAUGAACAUGUAUAUGCAGUAAAACUUUAUAAAGAAUUACACAAUCCAAAAAAAAAAGUUAAGUAACAAAGGGACGAAAGAUACCAGAGGGACAGUCAAACUCAUAUAUCGAAAAAUAGAUUGACAACGCCAUGGCUAAAAAAAAACCAGACAAACAAUAGUACUCAUGACACAACAUAGAAAACUAAAGAAUAAAC